This 253-nucleotide ribosomal RNA is filed under the name uncultured bacterium. RNAcentral describes it as "partial 16S ribosomal RNA". It matches the Rfam family "Bacterial small subunit ribosomal RNA", at positions 524 to 776 of the family's 1533-position model. The record is from RNAcentral.
UACAGAGGGUGCGAGCGUUGUUCGGAAUUAUUGGGCGUAAAGGGCGCGUAGGCGGUGCGGUAAGUCACCUGUGAAAUCUCCUGGCUCAACUGGGAGCUUGCAGGCGAAACUGCCGUGCUGGAGUGUGGGAGAGGUGCGUGGAAUUCCUGGUGGAGCGGUGAAAUGCGUAGAUAUCAGGAGGAACACCUGUGGCGAAAGCGGCGCACUGGACCACAACUGACGCUGAGGCGCGAAAGCUAGGGGAGCAAACAGG